UACGUAGGGGGCAAGCGUUGUCCGGAAUUACUGGGCGUAAAGGGCUUGUAGGCGGCCAACUAAGUCCGACGUGAAAUCCCCAGGCUUAACCUGGGAACUGCGUCGGAUACUGGAUGGCUUGAAUUCGGGAGAGGGAUGCAGAAUUCCAGGUGUAGCGGUGAAAUGCGUAGAUAUCUGGAGGAAUACCGGUGGCGAAGGCGGCAUCCUGGACCGACAUUGACGCUGAGGAGCGAAAGCUAGGGGAGCAAACGGG
This 253-nucleotide ribosomal RNA is filed under the name uncultured bacterium. RNAcentral's name for it is "partial 16S ribosomal RNA". It matches the Rfam family "Bacterial small subunit ribosomal RNA", at positions 524 to 776 of the family's 1533-position model. The record is from RNAcentral.